This 232-nucleotide ribosomal RNA is filed under the name uncultured bacterium. Its description in RNAcentral is "partial 16S ribosomal RNA". It matches the Rfam family "Bacterial small subunit ribosomal RNA", at positions 99 to 334 of the family's 1533-position model. The record is from RNAcentral.
CGGACGGGUGAGUAAUGUCUGGGAAACUGCCCGAUGGAGGGGGAUAACUACUGGAAACGGUAGCUAAUACCGCAUAACGUCGCAAGACCAAAGAGGGGGACCUUCGGGCCUCUUGCCAUCGGAUGUGCCCAGAUGGGAUUAGCUAGUAGGUGGGGUAACGGCUCACCAAGGCGACGAUCCCUAGCUGGUCUGAGAGGAUGACCAGCCACACUGGAACUGAGACACGGUCCAG